GUGAAAGGCGCGAUCAGCGCGUCAUAGAUCAUGACAAACUCACGCCGCCCGUGACUGCGCAUGCUCGGCGCACGGCGCUGCCGCAUCAUCGAACGCCUCGCACAUAUGCCGCGCGGCCAGAAGAUUCUCGGCCGUCAGCACAUCCGACGUCGCUCCCCACGCCACCGGCGACCGCGCCAGCAACAGUGUCUCGGGGAAAUUCGCGCGCACCAGUUCCAUGUCGUGCAGUGCCGCCAGCACCGUGCGCUUCUCGGUGUGCCAGCGCCGCACCAGUGCAAUGAGAUCAGCAGACGUUUUCGCAUCGAUGGCGUUGAACGGCU
Molecule: unclassified non-coding RNA, 320 nt
Filed under: Hevea brasiliensis (rubber tree)
Lineage: Eukaryota; Viridiplantae; Streptophyta; Magnoliopsida; Malpighiales; Euphorbiaceae
Source: RNAcentral